Helianthus annuus (common sunflower) is the source of this 1327-nucleotide long non-coding RNA. RefSeq lists it as uncharacterized. The record is from RefSeq and is a predicted model, not a curated record. NCBI's taxonomy places the organism in Eukaryota, Viridiplantae, Streptophyta, Magnoliopsida, Asterales, Asteraceae. The transcript has 4 exons.
AUCAUUAAUUUUAUUAAAAAAAAUGGUCCAAUGGUAGGUGAAAAAAUGGUACUUUAUCCAGUUUUUUGAGCCUUAAUCAUGUGUAUUUGAUGAUUCUAAGUUUAUAAGUUUGUUUUUUUUUUUGCUUCGUUUGUUCGGUUGUGGUUUGGUAGCCAUAGAUUGAUUGUUUGAUUUUUGAUGGGUACAAUUGGGCAUCUGGGUCUGGUCGGGUUUGUGAGUUGGGAUUUGCAGGGUUUGAUUUAUUGAUCUUCUAAAGUGAUUACUUUUUCUUGAAUAUCAAAUUUACUGGUUUAUUAUUUCAUUGAUUUUUAGGGUUAAUUCAAGAUUAUAGCCAUCUUCAACAUCUGGGCUUCAGCUGCAUUUUUGGGCAAAAAAUAUGUAACAUUGGUGAUGCAGUCAUCGGCUCCUAACCGAGGUUCUCCGUGGGUGUGAAAAGUGUACCAACUGCCAAAAGUCUAAUCUAGAGAAUACUGUGGGUGUGUUAACAAUGGCUGGUAAAAGGUUUUCCGUUUUCGUGGUUUGGUCACUCCCAUCUUGGCUUGCAUGCAUGGUUUAGAAGUAGGCGAUGAGAUGAACUUGGCAGCUGGGAUUUAGGUUGCCCAGUUGGCACAUAAGCAUCGCGAGAACAAAAAAAAACCAACAACAAUGGAUAAUCGUGUUUGCAGGAGGGUUAGGGAAAUUGAGAGAGAAGCACAUGAAGAAGUCGGAACUCUGCCAGAGAAAGAUGCUAAACAAUAUGUUGCCCUUGACUUGAUUUCAAGGCUGAAGAACCAUCGGUUUUACGAUGAUGAUGAUGAUGAUAAUCCAAAAGGUAGUUUCUUUCUUGAAUUCAAGUGAAGAAAUUUUACCCUAUGUUUUUAGAGGUGGCUAAACAUGUUGGUUGAGUAACGGGUUAAAAUGAGUUUGGGUCUAAACAAGUCGGGUCGGGUUUUUUUGAGUUGCCAACUUUUUUUUUUCAUGUUUAUAUUUAGAUUUUAGAUAUGAAUAGCACUUGUAUCAUUAACUUGGUAGCGUAUUUAUUUCAGAUUAUACAGCACCUAGGAUUGCAAGUAUAUAAGGAAAGUUCAAACCUUUAUACUUGACCCGUUAUCAAAUAAAUUCCAACCCAGUUUAACCAGUUUUCAUAUGAACGAUUUAAGAAUUAAGAUUGCCAGUUCGCCAUACCUUGUUAUUGGAGUCCAAUUGUUUCCUGCUUUAUACUUUCAUAGUAUGUGAUACAUGUUAAGAGAAAGAUGUACGCUUUGACAUAUAAAGUCAAAAUAAUUCCUUACAUUUUCAAAUUGAAGAUGGAUUUUGUUACUUAUUUAAUUAUAUAAAUUUCCAAUUA